CUCGUGUCACCAGUUCAAAUACCGGAAAAUCGGUAGACGCUACGGACUUAAAUUUUGAGCCUUAGUAGAGAAAUUUAUUAAGUGACUGUUUUCACAUUCAGGAAAACCUAAGGUUUGAAAUAUGAGGCAAUCCUGAGCCAAAUUUGAGUUAUGAAAUAGGUGCAGAGACUCGAAGGAAACUAUCCUAACGAAAAAAGUUUUUUUCUUUAUAUUACAAGUAUCGGUUAAGUGUAUAAUACAAAAUAUAUUUGAAA
RNAcentral lists this transfer RNA (254 nucleotides) under Cheilolejeunea roccatii. RNAcentral describes it as "Evansiolejeunea roccatii partial tRNA-Leu". The stretch from base 40 to 224 matches the Rfam family "Group I catalytic intron". From Rfam's summary of the family: Group I catalytic introns are large self-splicing ribozymes. They catalyse their own excision from mRNA, tRNA and rRNA precursors in a wide range of organisms. Lineage: Eukaryota; Viridiplantae; Streptophyta; Jungermanniopsida; Porellales; Lejeuneaceae. The record is from RNAcentral.